GGGCUAUUAGCUCAGUGGUAGAGCGCGCCCCUGAUAAUUCAAGUCCAGGAUGGCCCA
This 57-nucleotide transfer RNA is filed under the name Tetrastigma yunnanense. RNAcentral's name for it is "tRNA-Ile". The record is from RNAcentral. Lineage: Eukaryota; Viridiplantae; Streptophyta; Magnoliopsida; Vitales; Vitaceae.